AACCUCCGCAAUGUGAGAAAUCGCGACGGGGGGAUCCCAAGUGCCAUUCUUAACGGGAUGGCUUUUCAUUAGUGUAAAAAGCUUUUGGAAUAAGAGCUGGGCAAGACCGGUGCCAGCCGCCGCGGUAACACCGGCAGCUCUAGUGGUAGCAAUUUUUAUUGGGCCUAAAGCGUCCGUAGCCGGUUUAAUAAGUCUCUGGUGAAAUCCUGUAGCUUAACUGUGGGAAUUGCUGGAGAUACUAUUAGACUUGAGACCGGGAGAGGUUAGAGGUACUCCCAGGGUAGAGGUGAAAUUCUGUAAUCCUGGGAGGACCGCCUGUUGCGAAGGCGUCUAACUGGAACGGUUCUGACGGUGAGGGACGAAAGUUAGGGGCGCGAACCGGAUUAGAUACCCGGGUAGUCCUAACUGUAAACGAUGCGGACUUGGUGUUGGGGUGGCUUUGAGCUGCUCCAGUGCCGAAGGGAAGCUGUAAGUCCGCCGCCUGGGAAGUACGGUCGCAAGACUGAAACUUAAAGGAAUU
This 520-nucleotide ribosomal RNA is filed under the name uncultured bacterium. Its description in RNAcentral is "bacterial SSU rRNA". It matches the Rfam family "Archaeal small subunit ribosomal RNA", at positions 345 to 866 of the family's 1478-position model. The record is from RNAcentral.